GAUGAACGCUGGCGGCGUGCCUAGUACAUGCAAGUCGAGCGAACGGACGAGAAGCUUGCUUCUCUGAUGUUAGCGGCGGACGGGUGAGUAACACGUGGAUAACCUACCUAUAAGACUGGGAUAACUUCGGGAAACCGGAGCUAAUACCGGAUGAUAUUUUGAACCGCAUGGUUCAAAAGUGAAAGACGGUCUUGCUGUCACUUAUAGAUGGAUCCGCGCUGCAUUAGCUAGUUGGUAAGGUAACGGCUUACCAAGGCAACGAUGCAUAGCCGACCUGAGAGGGUGAUCGGCCACACUGGAACUGAGACACGGUCCAGACUCCUACGGGAGGCAGCAGUAGGGAAUCUUCCGCAAUGGGCGAAAGCCUGACGGAGCAACGCCGCGUGAGUGAUGAAGGUCUUCGGAUCGUAAAACUCUGUUAUUAGGGAAGAACAUAUGUGUAAGUAACUGUGCGCAUCUUGACGGUACCUAAUCAGAAAGCCACGGCUAACUACGUG
Molecule: ribosomal RNA, 497 nt
Filed under: uncultured bacterium
Lineage: Bacteria
Description: partial 16S ribosomal RNA
Rfam family: Bacterial small subunit ribosomal RNA
Source: RNAcentral